UACGGGGGGGGUAAGCGUUGUUCGGAAUUACUGGGCGUAAAGCGUGCGCAGGCGGCUUUGCAAGACAGAUGUGAAAUCCCCGGGCUUAACCUGGGAACUGCAUUUGUGACUGCAUGGCUGGAGUGCGGCAGAGGGGGAUGGAAUUCCGCGUGUAGCAGUGAAAUGCGUAGAUAUGCGGAGGAACACCGAUGGCGAAGGCAAUCCCCUGGGCCUGCACUGACGCUCAUGCACGAAAGCGUGGGGAGCAAACAGG
This 253-nucleotide ribosomal RNA is filed under the name uncultured bacterium. RNAcentral describes it as "partial 16S ribosomal RNA". It matches the Rfam family "Bacterial small subunit ribosomal RNA", at positions 524 to 776 of the family's 1533-position model. The record is from RNAcentral.